UGGGGAAUAUUGCACAAUGGGGGAAACCCUGAUGCAGCAACGCCGCGUGAGCGAAGAAGGCCUUUGGGUCGUAAAGCUCUGUCCUCAGGGAAGAAGGAAGUGACGGUACCUGAGGAGGAAGCCCCGGCUAACUACGUGCCAGCAGCCGCGGUAAUACGUAGGGGGCAAGCGUUAUCCGGAAUUAUUGGGCGUAAAGGGUACGUAGGCGGCUUGGUAAGCGUGAGGUGAAAGGCAAUUGCUUAACGAUUGUAAGCCUUGCGAACUGUCAGGCUUGAGUGCAGGAGAGGAAAGCGGAAUUCCUAGUGUAGCGGUGAAAUGCGUAGAUAUUAGGAGGAACACCAGUGGCGAAGGCGGCUUUCUGGACUGUAACUGACGCUGAGGUACGAAAGCGUGGGGAGCAAACAGG
Molecule: ribosomal RNA, 406 nt
Filed under: uncultured bacterium
Lineage: Bacteria
Description: bacterial SSU rRNA
Rfam family: Bacterial small subunit ribosomal RNA
Source: RNAcentral